RNAcentral lists this ribosomal RNA (778 nucleotides) under uncultured Neocallimastigales. Its description in RNAcentral is "partial large subunit ribosomal RNA". It matches the Rfam family "Eukaryotic large subunit ribosomal RNA", at positions 24 to 644 of the family's 3401-position model. The record is from RNAcentral. Lineage: Eukaryota; Fungi; Neocallimastigomycota; Neocallimastigomycetes; Neocallimastigales.
GUAGUCUCGCACAGAUGCAUAUCAAUAAGCGGAGGAAAAGAAACUAACAAGGAUUCCCCUAGUAACGGCGAGUGAAGCGGGAAGAGCUCAAAUUUGAAAUCUUAAAGGGUUUCCCUUUACGAAUUGUAGUUUAAAGAAGUGUUUUCUGUUGAGGUUUUGGUAAAAGUUCUUUGGAAUAGGACAUCAUAGAGAGGUGAGAAUCCCGUAUUUGACCUUUACUUUCAACUUUGUGAUACACUUUCAAAGAGUCGGAUUGUUUGGGAAUGCAGUCCAAAAUGGGUGGUAAAUUUCAUCUAAAGCUAAAUAUUGGCGAGAGACCGAUAGCGAACAAGUACCGUGAGGGAAAGAUGAAAAGAACUUUGAAAAGAGAGUUAAACAGUACGUGAAAUUUGUCAAAAGGGAAGCGUUUGACACCAGUGUUGUUUUUCUGAAAGAUCAAUUAAAGAACUGUUUAUGCUAAGUUGUUUAGACUUUAUCAGGCUAACUGUUUAGUUUUGAGCUUUUCUUUAAUGCACUUUUCAGUUAACAAGUCAACAUCAAUUUCUUUUGCUGUAAAAAAGCUUGAGGAAGGUGGCUUGAGAUUCGUCUUAAGUGUUUAUAGCCUCUUGCCUAUGCAGUCGGAGAGAUUGAGGUCUGCAGCGUAGAUCCUUCGGGGCUAAAUGCAUUUGUGCUAAGUUAUAGCAUUUUAUAGACAACUUGUUGACUAUGAUUUGUCUUGUAGCUUACUCGCUUAUGUUAUUUUACCUACGCUUAGGAUGUUGAACUACUGAGACAUAGA